This 228-nucleotide long non-coding RNA is filed under the name Physcomitrium patens. RNAcentral's name for it is "long non-coding RNA (PPAT_LNC000201)". The record is from RNAcentral. Lineage: Eukaryota; Viridiplantae; Streptophyta; Bryopsida; Funariales; Funariaceae.
CCUUACAAUAGAUCUUAUGAAGAAGUUAUAAUUUCUCUUAUACCUAUGACAUGUAAAGACAAACUUAAGUCGAAUAAAGAAGUUGAAGCAUCUUUUAAAGCCUUGAAGAUAAUAUUUACUUCUACACCAAUUUUAUAUUGUAUUAAUUCUUUUAGAGCAUUCUAUAUAGAAAUAAAUCCAUCAAAUUUUGCUAUGAGUGAAAUCUUGUCACAAAUGGAAGCAAAUGAC